This is a non-coding RNA of Acanthosepion pharaonis, 114 nucleotides long. The record is from the annotation of a GenBank genome assembly. NCBI's taxonomy places the organism in Eukaryota, Metazoa, Mollusca, Cephalopoda, Sepiida, Sepiidae.
UUACGGUCACAUCACGUUGAAGCACCGGUUCCCGUAUGAUCAAAGAAGUCAAGCAACGUUUAAUCUGGUCAGUACUUAGAUGGGUGCCCGUUUGGGAAUACCAGGUGCUGCAAG